RNAcentral lists this transfer RNA (57 nucleotides) under Loxodonta africana (African savanna elephant). It matches the Rfam family "tRNA", at positions 8 to 63 of the family's 71-position model. From Rfam's summary of the family: Transfer RNA (tRNA) molecules are approximately 80 nucleotides in length. Their secondary structure includes four short double-helical elements and three loops (D, anti-codon, and T loops). Lineage: Eukaryota; Metazoa; Chordata; Mammalia; Proboscidea; Elephantidae. The record is from Rfam by way of RNAcentral.
UGGCUCAGUGGUUAAGAGCUUGGCUGUUAACCAAAAGACCAGCAGUUCGAAACUGCU